This 599-nucleotide long non-coding RNA is filed under the name Gossypium raimondii (Peruvian cotton). Its description in RNAcentral is "long non-coding RNA (GRAI_LNC005008)". The record is from RNAcentral. Lineage: Eukaryota; Viridiplantae; Streptophyta; Magnoliopsida; Malvales; Malvaceae.
ACCGCUUCCGUUUCGUAUAUGAUAUCGGAAAGUCUUGGCCUUAACUUAUGUUUCCAAACAUCACUGUUUGGCUCAACGUUAAUCUCCCGCCACCGUAUCUCCGCCACCACCAAAAUUUCCGUCAGCUGAUGAAUAUCUACGGUGAGAAUCAAAUUACUAUCCUGCCCUUCCAAAUAGAUCCCUCUCUCUUUCCUUUUCUUCGCCUUCACGUUCUCGAUUUUCCGGAACUCUUCUUCGAUUCUCAGUAUUAUCCUUUCCGGUUUCUCCCCCGAUACGAACUGUUCUCUCCGGGCCGAAAAGUCGGCGUCGUUGAAUAAACCGGAGAGGUCGAAACCGGUCGAAAAUGAGAUUAUAUGGAAGGCGUUUAAGCACUUGGUGCUCUGGAUAUCCCCUUUCAAUUCAAAUUCCUCCGCGUUGAAUUUGGUUUCUUUGUAACCUUUCUUGAACCAGGGAUCGGUGAUGAUUUCAUCGACGGUGAUCCUUGUUUCAGGAUUAGUGUCCAGAAGCCGGCUUAAAAAUCGCCGGAGAUCUGGAGACGUCCAUUUCGGGAACCGGAAUUCGCCUUUAUAAAUACGACGAUACAUCACCAUCAGAUUGGG